UUUGUUUGAUUUGUAACAAAAUAUAAGUACAUGAAGUUGGUCGCAUAUAAUGAAGAGUUUGACAUAUGGGGCAAAAUAUGGUGGCGGAUUUACUUGCAAAGGAAGAUGGUAGAAGGAAAA
Solanum tuberosum (potato) is the source of this 120-nucleotide long non-coding RNA. RefSeq lists it as uncharacterized. The transcript has 2 exons. The record is from RefSeq and is a predicted model, not a curated record. Lineage: Eukaryota; Viridiplantae; Streptophyta; Magnoliopsida; Solanales; Solanaceae.